RNAcentral lists this ribosomal RNA (857 nucleotides) under Diaporthe rudis. RNAcentral describes it as "eukaryotic LSU rRNA". It matches the Rfam family "Eukaryotic large subunit ribosomal RNA", at positions 32 to 921 of the family's 3401-position model. The record is from RNAcentral. Lineage: Eukaryota; Fungi; Ascomycota; Sordariomycetes; Diaporthales; Diaporthaceae.
AAUUAAGCAUAUCAAUAAGCGGAGGAAAAGAAACCAACAGGGAUUGCCCUAGUAACGGCGAGUGAAGCGGCAACAGCUCAAAUUUGAAAUCUGGCCUCGGCCCGAGUUGUAAUUUGCAGAGGAUGUUUCUGGCGCGGUGCCUUCCGAGUUCCCUGGAACGGGACGCCAAAGAGGGUGAGAGCCCCGUAUGGUCGGACACCAAGCCUGUGUGAAACUCCUUCGACGAGUCGAGUAGUUUGGGAAUGCUGCUCUAAAUGGGAGGUAAAUCUCUUCUAAAGCUAAAUACCGGCCAGAGACCGAUAGCGCACAAGUAGAGUGAUCGAAAGAUGAAAAGCACCUUGAAAAGGGGGUUAAAUAGUACGUGAAAUUGUUGAAAGGGAAGCACUUAUGACCAGACUUGGGCCGGGCGGCUCAUCAGGGGUUCUCCCCUGUGCACUCCGCCCGGCACAGGCCAGCAUCGGUUCUCGUGGGGGGAUAAGACCGUCAGGAACGUAGCACCCUCCGGGGUGUGUUAUAGCCUGGCGGACGAUACCCUCGUGGGGACCGAGGUUCGCGCUCCGCAAGGAUGCUGGCGUAAUGGUCAUCAGUGACCCGUCUUGAAACACGGACCAAGGAGUCGUCCAUUAGAGCGAGCGUUUGGGUGUAAAACCCGCACGCGUAAUGAAAGUGAACGCAGGUGAGAGCUUCGGCGCAUCAUCGACCGAUCCUGAUGUUCUCGGAAGGAUUUGAGUAAGAGUUUUAACGGACGGACCCGAAAGACAGUGAACUAUGCUUGUAUAGGGUGAAGCCAGAGGAAACUCUGGUGGAGGCUCGCAGCGGUUCUGACGUGCAAAUCGAUCGUCAAAUAUGAGCAUGGG